AUAUUUCCCCGUUGGUCUGCAGAAAUUCCUCUUAUUCUCGUUCCAUCCAUUGUAUAAACGAGUGUUCCAUCUGAUUUUAUACAGUAUAGGUUAUAAUCAGUCUUGACUGUUAUGUGCCGUGUUACUUUAUCGUACAAAAUACGCCAACAGAUCGGGUAUCUUGAGUCGGGGAAAUGUAUAUUUUUGCAAAAUGGAGCCAUCAGUCUUCAGUGUUUUGACUCUAGAAAAUCAUCCUAUGACAAUUUGAUCUUUAACAGCAGUUAUGAUACAACAAUUAAAUUCAACAUCAACUUUCAUAUCCACUGUGAAGUUUGUAGUAUUAACGAACUGUACUGAUGUCUCCUCAGGUAUUGUAACAACUGCUGUAUCU
Molecule: long non-coding RNA, 370 nt
Filed under: Mytilus galloprovincialis (Mediterranean mussel)
Lineage: Eukaryota; Metazoa; Mollusca; Bivalvia; Mytilida; Mytilidae
Source: RNAcentral